Molecule: ribosomal RNA, 252 nt
Filed under: uncultured bacterium
Lineage: Bacteria
Description: partial 16S ribosomal RNA
Rfam family: Bacterial small subunit ribosomal RNA
Source: RNAcentral
CACGUAGGGUGCGAGCGUUGUCCGGAAUUAUUGGGCGUAAAGAGCUCGUAGGCGGUCCGUCACGUCGGAUGUGAAAUUCCAAGGCUCAACCCUGACCUGCAUUCGAUACGGGCGGACUAGAGUUCGGUAGGGGAGACUGGAAUUCCUGGUGUAGCGGUGAAAUGCGCAGAUAUCAGGAGGAACACCGGUGGCGAAGGCGGGUCUCUGGGCCGAUACUGACGCUGAGGAGCGAAAGCGUGGGGAGCGAACAGG